AGGGCACCACCAGGAGUGGAGCCUGCGGCUUAAUUUGACUCAACACGGGGAAACUCACCCGGCCCGGACACCGGAAGGAUUGACAGAUUGAUAGCUCUUUCUUGAUUCGGUGGAUGGUGGUGCAUGGCCGUUCUUAGUUGGUGGAGCGAUCUGUCUGGUUAAUUCCGAUAACGAACGAGACUCUAGCCUAUUAAAUAGACGUCGGGUUCUCUGCACUCGACGGUCUUCUUAGAGGGACAAGGUGCUUUUAGCACCGCGAAACAGAGCAAUAACAGGUCUGUGAUGCCCUUAGAUGUCCGGGGCCGCACGCGCGCUACACUGAAGGAAGCAGCGUGUAACAACCUUGUUCUAACGAACUGGGUAACCCGUGGAACUUCCUUCAUGAUUGGGAUAGGGGUUUGCAAUUUUGCCCCUUGAACGAGGAAUUCCCAGUAAGCACUAGUCAUCAACUAGUGCUGAUUACGUCCCUGCCCUUUGUACACACCGCCCGUCACUACGACCGAUUGAAUGGCUCAUUGA
Molecule: ribosomal RNA, 519 nt
Filed under: uncultured eukaryote
Lineage: Eukaryota
Description: SSU rRNA
Rfam family: Eukaryotic small subunit ribosomal RNA
Source: RNAcentral